UGCUGAGAUAUAAUGUCCCUCUCCAUAGAAAUGAUGGUACCUUCAGGAUCCGUCUGGAUGUAAGACCAAUUCAGUGCACUAGAGGCCUCCCCACAAAGCUUCAAAUCAAAAUUUUUGUAGUAUAUAUCGGAUCUCGUCAAAAAUCGAAACAUGGUGCUUAUUGAGGUGAAGAUGUUGUCUGGGUUUUCUCCUUUAAAGAGCUUGAUAGAACAGUUAAAGACCUAUAAAGUAAUUCAGAGGGCA
Molecule: long non-coding RNA, 243 nt
Organism: Bufo gargarizans (Asiatic toad)
Lineage: Eukaryota; Metazoa; Chordata; Amphibia; Anura; Bufonidae
Exons: 3
Source: RefSeq, a predicted model, not a curated record